RNAcentral lists this transfer RNA (91 nucleotides) under bacterium 1XD8-76. It matches the Rfam family "tRNA". Rfam says of the family: Transfer RNA (tRNA) molecules are approximately 80 nucleotides in length. Their secondary structure includes four short double-helical elements and three loops (D, anti-codon, and T loops). Further hydrogen bonds mediate the characteristic L-shaped molecular structure. tRNAs have two regions of fundamental functional importance: the anti-codon, which is responsible for specific mRNA codon recognition, and the 3' end, to which the tRNAs corresponding amino acid is attached (by aminoacyl-tRNA synthetases). tRNAs cope with the degeneracy of the genetic code in two manners: having more than one tRNA (with a specific anti-codon) for a particular amino acid; and 'wobble' base-pairing, i.e. permitting non-standard base-pairing at the 3rd anti-codon position. The record is from Rfam by way of RNAcentral.
GCUCCAUUAGCUCAGUUGGGAGAGCCCAAGGAAUAAAGGGCAUCCCUGACUUUUGAUCGAGUGGCCAUGGGUUCGAGUCCCAUGUGGGGUA